RNAcentral lists this microRNA precursor (105 nucleotides) under Marmota monax (woodchuck). Lineage: Eukaryota; Metazoa; Chordata; Mammalia; Rodentia; Sciuridae. The record is from RNAcentral.
ACACACAUCACCUAGGAAUCUUAUUCAAAUGUAGGUUCUGACUCAAUCAGUUUGGAACAGGGCCCCAGAUUCUGCAUUGCUAACAGGCUGUAAGGGGAUGUUGAC